RNAcentral lists this long non-coding RNA (453 nucleotides) under Helianthus annuus (common sunflower). The record is from RNAcentral. Lineage: Eukaryota; Viridiplantae; Streptophyta; Magnoliopsida; Asterales; Asteraceae.
AUGCAAUUUAAGUUCAAGUUCGGUCAAAUCCACCUAAGGUCUCACGCUAAGGAUGGCAAGUCCACCUAAUCCCCCCUCAAGCUUAUAGGACAAAAGGAACCACCACUGGGUUAUUUCCUAACCGCCUUAUACCAAGAUCAAGAGAGUUUAAAAUCAAAUCUAUUCUUCCCAUUUUUUUUCAUUCAUUUUUUUUUUCACAUUUACGAGCGUAGACGUUGCUUUCCCUAAUCCCAGAGGUAUUCCGGCUGUAGAGUCGCUAUCCCCAACCACAGAUUACGUAGGCCUCGGUACUUUUUUUAUUUAUUUUUGCAAGGUCGAUUUCACACACCCUAGCGGUAAUCUGGCUGUAGAGUCGCUAUCCCCAACCACAGACUACAUAGGAAUGGCUACUUUCAUUUAUUCAAUUACACUCACCUAAAUCAAGAACCCUAAUCCGACUCUAUUAUGUGAUAA